AGAAUCAACGCUGGCGGCGUGCCUCAGACAUGCAAGUCGAACGCGAAAGUCCCCUUCGGGGGACAAGUAGAGUGGCGCACGGGUGAGUAACACGUAGGUAAUCUACCUUCGGAUGGGGAAUAACAACCGGAAACGGUUGCUAAUACCGCAUAAUGCAGCGGCACCUAAUGGUGACAGUUGUUAAAGCGGGGGAUCGAAAGACCUCGCGUCUGAAGAGGAGCCUGCGGCGGAUUAGCUAGUUGGUAGGGUAACGGCCUACCAAGGCGACGAUCCGUAGCC
Molecule: ribosomal RNA, 279 nt
Filed under: uncultured soil bacterium
Lineage: Bacteria
Description: partial 16S ribosomal RNA
Rfam family: Bacterial small subunit ribosomal RNA
Source: RNAcentral